CUGGCUCCUCUAGGCUGUUAUAUCCCAGGCCAUGCCCAGAAACCGGAGUCCUGAGCUGAGGGCAGAUUUCAGAGCAUGGUAGGCCCAAGGCCAGAGCUCUCUUGAGGCUAACGUCAGAGCUGACUGUGAUCAAAGACAGGGCUGAGCUGUCAAACUUUCUCAAAGAAGGGCUGAUACUUCUUUUAAGGGUACGAUAUUACCUGUGAACUAAAUAGUUCUCAUGAGUAAUUGCUGGACGGAAAUGUAUAGAUCUCCUAACUUUGGCUUGCAUCAAGGCUUGUAAAAACACCUAUUUCUGGGCCCUGCCUGAGAGGUUCUGACUGAAUAGGAGAAGCCGAGAAUUUGUAUUUCCUUUCAUUUUAUUUUAGAGAUGGGGAUUUCACUCUGUCACCCAGGCUAGAGUGCAGUGGUGCAAUCGUAGCUCACUGCAGCCUUGAACUCUUGGGUUCAAGUGAUCCUCCUACCUCAGCCUCCCAAGUAGAUGGGACCACGUGUGUGCACCACUACACCCAGCUAAUUUUUUAAAACUCUUUUUUUUUUUUUUUUUUUCUUUGUGCAGACGAGGUCUCGCUCUGUUGCCCAGACUGGUCCUAAACUCCUGGCCUCAAGUACUCCUCCUGCUUGGGCCUUCCAAAUUGUUGGGAUCAUAGAUGCAGAAACCACGGCCCAGGGAAGACGCAGCUUGAGCAAGGUCACCGGCAGUUUCCUUUGCAGUAAAAUGGGAAUAAAAAGAAAAUCUACGUAACAGUAGAUAUUCUGUGAGGAUUACGUGAAUUCAUAUUUGAAGAGUGAGUAGAAGGGUUCCUGGCACAAGCUCUACAAGUGUGGCUGGAAUGAAUAUGAUGAUGAGGAUGAAGAUGAGGAUGGCGGGGCUGGAGCUCAAGUGCCAUACUGUGUCCUGGAGCAGAAGCCACGUGUUGAGGACAGUCUGGACCCUUAACGAGGGUUGAGCCACGACACCAGCCUGUGACUGUUUACCUCUUGAGUUUGUUUACAGGAGAAGAAAAUAAACUCUCACCUUGUUUAACACACCAUCCUGUUGGCUUUUCAGUUUGCUUGUAGCCCGAUCUAAUCCUAACUGAUACAGGAACAUUGUAGGUUCAACUCACAUCCCUGUCCCCUGCACCAUGUUGUCGCUCUUUAAGAUAAUGUCUCACUGUUCCUACUUGGGUUGUACAUUCCUUGAGGACGGAAAAGCUUCCCACUCACAGUAGGUGCCCAGAAAGUAAGUAUCGAAUUAAUGGAAGAACAAUGUGAAAAUCAUUCUGGUUAGGUAGACAAGGAAUUCUUUGGCUAGUUGCAGAAAAUCAGUGAUAGUAAUAACAAAAUUUAUCAAGCAUAAUGGCUGGCGUGCUUUUUUUUUUUUUUUUUCCAAGUCAGAGUCUUGCUCUGUUGCCCAAGCUGGAGGGCAGUGAUGUGAUCACAUCUCACUGCACCCUUGACCUCCUGCCUCAAAUGAUCCCUCCAUCUCAGCCUCCUGUGCACCAGCACACCCAGCUAAUUUUUAAAUUUUUUUUUUGUAGGGAUGAGGUCUUACUAUAUUGCCCAGUCUGGUCUUGAACUUCUGGACUCAAUUGAUCCUCCUGCCUCAGCCUUCCAAAGUGUUGGGAUGACAGGUAUGAGCCACUAUGCCCAGUCCCUGGCAUUCCAAGUACUUCAAGUGUAUUUUAUAGUUCAGCUCUCAUGACAAUCCUAUGAAAUAAAUACAGUUGGCCCUCUACACCUGUGGGCUCUGCAUCGAUGGAUUCAACCAACCAUGGAUU
RNAcentral lists this long non-coding RNA (1763 nucleotides) under Homo sapiens (human). RNAcentral's name for it is "HSALNT0030785". Lineage: Eukaryota; Metazoa; Chordata; Mammalia; Primates; Hominidae. The record is from RNAcentral.